This 820-nucleotide ribosomal RNA is filed under the name Streptomyces sp. D214. Its description in RNAcentral is "bacterial SSU rRNA". It matches the Rfam family "Bacterial small subunit ribosomal RNA", at positions 40 to 879 of the family's 1533-position model. Lineage: Bacteria; Bacillati; Actinomycetota; Actinomycetes; Kitasatosporales; Streptomycetaceae. The record is from RNAcentral.
CGGCGGCUGCUUACACAUGCAGUCGAACGAUGAACCACUUCGGUGGGGAUUAGUGGCGAACGGGUGAGUAACACGUGGGCAAUCUGCCCUGCACUCUGGGACAAGCCCUGGAAACGGGGUCUAAUACCGGAUACUGAUUGUCUUGGGCAUCCUUGAUGAUCGAAAGCUCCGGCGGUGCAGGAUGAGCCCGCGGCCUAUCAGCUUGUUGGUGAGGUAACGGCUCACCAAGGCGACGACGGGUAGCCGGCCUGAGAGGGCGACCGGCCACACUGGGACUGAGACACGGCCCAGACUCCUACGGGAGGCAGCAGUGGGGAAUAUUGCACAAUGGGCGAAAGCCUGAUGCAGCGACGCCGCGUGAGGGAUGACGGCCUUCGGGUUGUAAACCUCUUUCAGCAGGGAAGAAGCGAAAGUGACGGUACCUGCAGAAGAAGCGCCGGCUAACUACGUGCCAGCAGCCGCGGUAAUACGUAGGGCGCAAGCGUUGUCCGGAAUUAUUGGGCGUAAAGAGCUCGUAGGCGGCUUGUCGCGUCGGUUGUGAAAGCCCGGGGCUUAACCCCGGGUCUGCAGUCGAUACGGGCAGGCUAGAGUUCGGUAGGGGAGAUCGGAAUUCCUGGUGUAGCGGUGAAAUGCGCAGAUAUCAGGAGGAACACCGGUGGCGAAGGCGGAUCUCUGGGCCGAUACUGACGCUGAGGAGCGAAGCGUGGGGAGCGAACAGGAUUAGAUACCCUUGUUAGUCACGCGGUAAAACGUGGGCACUAGGUGUGGCCACCAUCACGUGGUCGUGCGCAGCUAACGCAUUAAGUGCCCGGCUUGGGGA